UCCCUGAUGGAUAGCUCCACUAUAGUAGAGCAUGAGACUCUUAAUCUCUGGGUUGUGGGUUCAAGCCCCAUGUUGGGUGAA
Non-coding RNA from Podarcis lilfordi (Lilford's wall lizard), 81 nucleotides. Lineage: Eukaryota; Metazoa; Chordata; Lepidosauria; Squamata; Lacertidae. The record is from the annotation of a GenBank genome assembly.